RNAcentral lists this non-coding RNA (186 nucleotides) under Gammaproteobacteria bacterium. RNAcentral describes it as "6S RNA". It matches the Rfam family "6S / SsrS RNA". From Rfam's summary of the family: E. coli 6S RNA was the first non coding RNA to be sequenced, but its function was unknown until recently. It consists of 184 nucleotides that fold into an extended hairpin structure with a large single-stranded internal bulge. Lineage: Bacteria; Pseudomonadati; Pseudomonadota; Gammaproteobacteria. The record is from RNAcentral.
GUGUCUCUAGGGUGUGCGUAAGCAAACUGAAAAACCCUUGAGCCUUAACUACUAACCAGGGGAGUCGCGCUGGUUAUACUAUGUGCAAUACCGCCAUGAGCGGGAAGCCUGAGGUAUGAUCGCUGUCCCCACCUGAACCUCUGGUUCAAGGUUAGCAGUAGUUGCUACGGCACUUUUGGAGGCACC